Molecule: transfer RNA, 73 nt
Filed under: Phycisphaerae bacterium
Lineage: Bacteria; Pseudomonadati; Planctomycetota; Phycisphaerae
Also listed under: 2 other names
Description: tRNA-Lys
Rfam family: tRNA
About the family: Transfer RNA (tRNA) molecules are approximately 80 nucleotides in length.
Source: RNAcentral
GAUUCCGUAGCUCAGUUGGUAGAGCAGGCGACUUUUAAUCGCUUUGUCCUGGGUUCGAGUCCCAGCGGAAUCA